Molecule: ribosomal RNA, 154 nt
Filed under: uncultured Sebacina
Lineage: Eukaryota; Fungi; Basidiomycota; Agaricomycetes; Sebacinales; Sebacinaceae
Description: 5.8S ribosomal RNA
Rfam family: 5.8S ribosomal RNA
About the family: 5.8S ribosomal RNA (5.8S rRNA) is a component of the large subunit of the eukaryotic ribosome. It is transcribed by RNA polymerase I as part of the 45S precursor that also contains 18S and 28S rRNA.
Source: RNAcentral
AACUUUCAACAACGGAUCUCUUGGCUCUCGCAUCGAUGAAGAACGCAGCGAAAUGCGAUAAGUAAUGUGAAUUGCAGAAUUCAGUGAAUCAUCGAAUCUUUGAACGCACCUUGCACCCUUUGGAAUUCCAAAGGGUAUGCUCGUUUGAGUGUCA